UACGGGGGGGGCAAGCGUUGUUCGGAAUUAUUGGGCGUAAAGAGCUCGUAGGCGGUUUGUUGCGUCGGCUGUGAAAACCUGAGGCUCAACCUCAGGCCUGCAGUCGAUACGAGCAGACUAGAGUGUUGCAGGGGAGACUGGAAUUCCUGGUGUAGCGGUGAAAUGCGCAGAUAUCAGGAGGAACACCGGUGGCGAAGGCGGGUCUCUGGGCCGAUACUGACACUGAGGAGCGAAAGCGUGGGGAGCGAACAGG
This 253-nucleotide ribosomal RNA is filed under the name uncultured bacterium. RNAcentral describes it as "partial 16S ribosomal RNA". It matches the Rfam family "Bacterial small subunit ribosomal RNA", at positions 524 to 776 of the family's 1533-position model. The record is from RNAcentral.